GAUGAAGAACGCAGCGAAAUGCGAUAAGUAAUGUGAAUUGCAGAAUUCAGUGAAUCAUCGAAUCUUUGAACGCACAUUGCGCCCGCCAGUAUUCUGGCGGGCAUGCCUGUCUGAGCGUCAUUUCAACCCUCAUGCCCCUAGGGCGUGGUGUUGGGGAUCGGCCAGAGCCCGCGAGGGACGGCCGGCCCCUAAAUCUAGUGGCGGACCCGUCGUGGCCUCCUCUGCGAAGUAGUGAUAUUCCGCAUCGGAGAGCGAUGAGCCCCUGCCGUUAAACCCCCAACUUUCCAAGGUUGACCUCAGAUCAGGUAGGAAUACCCGCUGAACUUAAGCAUAUCAAUAAGCGGAGGA
Molecule: unclassified non-coding RNA, 348 nt
Filed under: soil metagenome
Description: partial contains 5.8S ribosomal RNA, internal transcribed spacer 2, and large subunit ribosomal RNA
Rfam family: 5.8S ribosomal RNA (bases 1-120)
Source: RNAcentral